CAGGAGCGACCGGUCACACACUCUGUGUGUGAACUUGCGUUGUCUCUGGCCAUCCUUGGGAAGAUCCUGUUUGGCAUUAAGUUGUCGGGCAGGGGAUACCCAUCGUUUACUGUGAAAAAAUUAGAGUGUUUAAAGCAGGCUUAUGCCGUUGAAUAUAUUAGCAUGGAAUAAAUAGAUAGGACUUCGGAACUAUUUUGUUGGUUUGCGUUACGAAGUAAUGAUUAAUAGGGACAGUUGGGGGUAUUCGUAUUUCGUUGUCAGAGGUGAAAUUCUUGGAUUUCCGAAAGACGAACUACUGCGAAAGCAUUUACCAAGGAUGUUUUCAUUAAUCAAGAACGAAAGUUAGGGGAUCGAAGAUGAUUAGAUACCAUCGUAGUCUUAACCAUAAACUAUGCCGACUCGGGAUUGGUGGUUGUUUUUUGACUCCAUCAGCACCGUAUGAGAAA
RNAcentral lists this ribosomal RNA (446 nucleotides) under uncultured eukaryote. RNAcentral's name for it is "SSU rRNA". It matches the Rfam family "Eukaryotic small subunit ribosomal RNA", at positions 646 to 1097 of the family's 1831-position model. The record is from RNAcentral.